UAUUCUAUAGUUUAUAAAAAAUUAGCGAUUGCAAGUCGCUAGAUUCCUUAGGAUAGAAUAU
RNAcentral lists this transfer RNA (61 nucleotides) under Pedicinus badii. Its description in RNAcentral is "tRNA-Cys". Lineage: Eukaryota; Metazoa; Arthropoda; Insecta; Psocodea; Pedicinidae. The record is from RNAcentral.